UUCCUGUUCUCCACUCUUCUCUAAAGGAAAUGCACUGCAAUGAAUUGCACAAUACAGACAUUCCUAAAUUCUGGAAAACCAGCAGGCUUUGAACUCUCCUGGGGGAAAAAAACCAUAAAACACAAAACUGCAAGGAAUGAGACUAUUUGGCCAAAUGGCCAAUAUGCUACAACUUUCAUAGGGAACUCACCGCACUUGGUAUUGCCUGAUGGAAAAAAAUGCCCUGAAUUUCCCGAUAAAAGAUUUGAGAUGUGGCAAAGGAAUAAAUAUUUUUUCCCUAAGAUAAAUCUAGCUGUAGGUGAAAACUGGGUCUCAUGCCUCGGACAAAAUAUUAUUUCCUUAUUUACUCUAAGUCUAUAUCAGAAUAUAGCCUACAUAGCAUCAGGUACUAAGCCAAAAAAGGCUCCAAGGGCACCAUUGUUCAUCCAUGACUUUGACUGUGUCACCCCCCAGAAACCUUGAGUUGGGCAAAUGAAAUCACAGUAGCCUUUGGUGGCUUCUUGAGCAGCUGCUAAGGAUCACAUGGAUUCUGCUCACACCCAGUGCUUCUCAUAAUUUAAAAAUGCUUGAAGCUGUGGGAGGCUGCCCGGCCCUCUGCAUUAUUCAAAAGAAAACCAGGAGGCAGCGACAAUUCUUGAUUCUUGCAGAUAAACAUUCUCCAACAACUAUUAAGAGUUGGAUUGCUCUACCUUCAUUUAAUUCCUUGGUGCUUUACUAUUUGAAUCUAGAAUAUUCUUGAAGUCUGAAAGAUGGAUAGAAAAGAGUCGUGUGUACAUCAUUGGGAAUGGAGGGAAAUAAAUGACUGGAUGGUCGCUGCUUUUUAAGUUUCAAAUUGACAUUCCAGACAAGCGGUGCCUGAGCCCGUGCCUGUCUUCAGAUCUUCACAGCACAGUUCCUGGGAAGGUGGAGCCACCAGCCUCUCCCUGAAUAACUGGGAGAUGAAACAGGAAGCUCUAUGACACACUUGAUCGAAUAUGACAGACACUGAAAAUCACGACUCAUCCCCCUCCAGCACCUCUACCUGUUGCCCGCCGAUCACAGCCGGAAUGCAGCUGAAAGAUUCCCUGGGGCCUGGUUCCAACUGCCCACUGUGGACUCUGAGGCCUCUGCAUUUGCGGGUGGUCUGCCUGUGAUAUUUUGGUCAUGGGCUGGUCUGGUCGGUUUCCCAUUUGUCUGGCCAGUCUCUGUGUGUCUUAAUCCCUUGUCCUUCAUUAAAAGCAAAAC
Molecule: long non-coding RNA, 1224 nt
Filed under: Homo sapiens (human)
Lineage: Eukaryota; Metazoa; Chordata; Mammalia; Primates; Hominidae
Description: HSALNT0305071
Source: RNAcentral